Molecule: transfer RNA, 78 nt
Filed under: Terriglobia bacterium
Lineage: Bacteria; Pseudomonadati; Acidobacteriota; Terriglobia
Description: tRNA-Ser
Source: RNAcentral
GCGAGAUGAGCUGGGCUUUAGUGAAGUCGUACAGACGAUAAACGUAGGUCGGGAGUUCGAGUCUCUCCAGGCGCGCCA